AUAACAGAUUUAAUUUACAAAGGAACUAGACAGUAUAACAGAUUUAAUUUACAAAGGAACUAGACAGUAUAACAGAUUUAAUUUACAAAGGAACUAGACAGUAUAACAGAUUUAAUUUACAAAGGAACUAGACAGUAUAACAGAUUUAAUUUACAAAGGAACUAGACAGUAUAACAGAUUUAAUUUACAAAGGAACUAGACAGUAUAACAGAUGUAAUUUACACAGUGGAGCGCAGCUGCUUGUCAAGAAGCCACACUCAUGUUAGAAGUUCAGCUCCCUGAAACAAUUAUUUUCAAAUAAAAAACUAAUUUAAUCAAAAAAAGGGGAAUUUCUAUCAUCCUAAUGAAGGUCUAGAUUACAUCUCACAUUCCAGUGUUUCUAAUGGAGGUCUAGAUUACAUCUCACAUUCCAGUGUUUCUAAUGAAGGUGUAGAUUACAUCUCACAUUCCAGUGUUCCUAAUGGAGGUGUAGAUUACAUCUCACAUUCCAGUGUUUCUAAUGGAGGUCUAGAUUACAUCUCACAUUCCAGUGUUUCUAAUGGAGGUGUAGAUUACAUCUCACAUUCCAGUGUUUCUAAUGGAGGUGUAGAUUACAUCUCACAUUCCAGUGUUUCUAAUGGAGGUCUAGAUUACAUCUCACAUUCCAGUGUUUCUAGAUUACAUCUCACAUUCCAGUGUUUCUAAUGAAGGUGUAGAUUACAUCUCACAUUCCAGUGUUUCUAAUGGAGGUGUAGAUUACAUCUCACAUUCCAGUGUUUCUAAUGGAGGUGUAGAUUACAUCUCACAUUCCAGUGUUUCUAAUGGAGGUCUAGAUUACAUCUCACAUUCCAGUGUUUCUAAUGGAGGUCUAGAUUACAUCUCACAUUCCAGUGUUUC
This is a long non-coding RNA of Oncorhynchus tshawytscha (Chinook salmon), 876 nucleotides long. Lineage: Eukaryota; Metazoa; Chordata; Actinopteri; Salmoniformes; Salmonidae. The record is from Ensembl.